GACGAACGCUGGCGGCGUGCUUAACACAUGCAAGUCGAACGGAAAGGCUCCAGCUUGCUGGAGUACUCGAGUGGCGAACGGGUGAGUAACACGUGGGUAAUCUGCCCUGCACUCUGGGAUAAGCCUGGGAAACUGGGUCUAAUACUGGAUAUGACCUUUCUCCUUAUGGGGUUUGGUGGAAAGUUUUUCGGUGUAGGAUGAGCCCGCGGCCUAUCAGCUUGUUGGUGGGGUGAUGGCCUACCAAGGCGACGACGGGUAGCCGGCCUGAGAGGGUGAUCGGCCACAUUGGGACUGAGAUACGGCCCAGACUCCUACGGGAGGCAGCAGUGGGGAAUAUUGCACAAUGGGCGAAGCCUGAUGCAGCGACGCCGCGUGAGGGAUGACGGCCUUCGGGUUGUAAACCGUCUUUCAGCAGGGACGAAGCGUAAGUGACGGUACCUGCAGAAGAAGCACCGGCUAACUACGUGCCAGCGCCGCGGUAA
Molecule: ribosomal RNA, 482 nt
Filed under: uncultured bacterium
Lineage: Bacteria
Description: bacterial SSU rRNA
Rfam family: Bacterial small subunit ribosomal RNA
Source: RNAcentral